CACCCUUGAAACACCGAUUCUCAUACGAUCACCGAAGUUAAGCAACGUUGAGCCUGGUCAGUACCGAGAUGGGUGACCGCUUGGGAAUACUGUGCUGUA
Non-coding RNA from Acanthosepion pharaonis, 99 nucleotides. The record is from the annotation of a GenBank genome assembly. Lineage: Eukaryota; Metazoa; Mollusca; Cephalopoda; Sepiida; Sepiidae.